RNAcentral lists this ribosomal RNA (232 nucleotides) under uncultured bacterium. RNAcentral's name for it is "partial 16S ribosomal RNA". It matches the Rfam family "Bacterial small subunit ribosomal RNA", at positions 103 to 334 of the family's 1533-position model. The record is from RNAcentral.
CGGGUGAGUAACACGUGAGCAACCUGGCUCUAGGAGGGGGACAACAGUUGGAAACGACUGCUAAUACCGCAUAACGUAUCGGGAUGGCAUCUUUCUGAUACCAAAGAUUUUAUCGCUUAGAGAUGGGCUCGCGUCUGAUUAGAUAGUUGGCGGGGUAACGGCCCACCAAGUCGACGAUCAGUAGCCGGACUGAGAGGUUGAACGGCCACAUUGGGACUGAGACACGGCCCAG